GCAGCUGCCGGACACCAGGAGACGAUGGAAGGUCUAUAGUGUUACAGCUCUGACCCAGGAAGUCCCAGGGUCUUGCCUUCCAGAAGGGUCGCGGCUCUUCCCUCCCUCAGUCCAACGAACAGGAGCACGUCACCUCCCGCAGCUCGGGGAGCUGGCCAGGAACGUGUUACAGCCCGUUUCGCUCCUGUCCGCAGCUGGGUGAGGCAGCCAGGAAAAUAUUACAGCUCUUCUCACGCCCGCCAUUCAGCAGGUCCUGACUUCUUGUGUGACAUCCAGAAGAAAGGGGUUACACAGACAGCUGGAGGGUGAGCAAAGUGGAGAAGUUCUCAGCAGAGAGGAGACUGGAGUGAGUUGCCCCUACCCGCAGGUGCCAACUGUAAUACAUCAGUAGCUGAACAGCUCAUUGCCCUCAAGUGUUCUUGCUCAUGCCUGGCUGAGUUAUUGAAGAAAUUGCUCAGAUCUCAAGCCCUUGUAGAUCACUGGUCCUGGCAGAUGUUAUGGGGAACUCGCUAUGUUGCCCAGGCUGGUCUUGAACUCAUGGUCUCAGGCAGUCCUCCUGCCUCAGCUUCCCAAAGUGCUGGAAUUACAGAUUAUACACCCGUGAUAUUGAUGGCAGUGGCUGCUGCUGUCGUGGCUGCUGCUAUCACGCCUGCUGCAACACAGAGGUGCGACUGGGGCUGCACAUUUCACGGAGGUGUUGGGAGUUCCGCCCCUUCUGAUGUGGGGAAAGAGAUCCCCAGGUGCCCCUGCAUCUGCCCAAACUGUGGCUGUGGAUCGGAGGCUCCAGGUUGGCAGGUUGGGAGCUUCCGGGUGCAGCUGCGACCGCCCUCCCAGGUGCAGGACCCUGGUGUUUCUGCAGCCUGCACCCUUGGGGGCCCCAGGAAAGACCCAUAUCCUUGCAGGCUUGGAGGUGUUUGCUUCUUCUGCCUGGCCUCUCUCGGCUCCCGGUGCAUGCUCUCAUAUCUGAGUGGGGGUUGGUGCUGAGCCCCGGGGCCGUGAAUUGCAGCAGGAGGCAGAUUUAUUCCUGGGCAGAAGGUGGCAGAUCCCAAGUAAGGGGACCUUCAAGCCAGGGAGGGCCUGAAGGCUGGUGGCUGGGCUACCAGUCCCACCGACCAGAGUGGGGAUUCGUGGGCCUCUUCUGGGCCACCCAUAGCCACCCAUGGACCAAUCAGCAAGCACAUCCUCCCCUCUGAGGUCCGUAAAAGCCCUGGGCGCAGCCUGAGCAGGGCAGAGGAAGGCCAGAGGUGAAGGAGUCAGAGAGGCGACAGGAUAGGCAGCUGCCGAGAGAAGUACGCCUCUCUGCUGAGACCUGGAGAUGACGGGAAGGCCAGAUGCAGAGAGGAGCUACCCUCUCUGCUUAGAGCUGCCAGGAGGAGCUACCAACCUUCUCUGCUGAGAGCUGCAGAGAUGACCUGCUGGCAGAGAGGAGCUACCCACUGCGGGUCUCCUCUGAUCUGUUGUAAUGCUGAAUAAAGCUUCUUUUCAUCUUGUUCACCUUCCACUUGUCUGCAUACCUCAUUCUACCCGGACGCAAGCAAGAACUCGAGCAAAGGCACAACCAGCCACAGAGGUUUCUGGCCAGAAAAUCGACACCCCAAAAGUCCUAUAACAAUCUGAUUCUAAAAGCAACAUCAUCUUUUCAAUGUAAUUCUAAAAGAAUUUGGGAUUAUUUUAUUUAAUUUCAGGAUCCCCUCUGAAGAAAAUCAACUUACAAAGGAUGGCAGGUCUUAAGAAAGGUACUUAGCAAGUGCUGGUACAUUCUAAGCAAUCAAUAUUUGUCAAUGUUCAGUAAUUGUACAAUUGUACUAGAGAAAACAAUUCCAGGGGCUUAAAAUUAUCUUAUACAAGGAUCCACUUUAUUAUUAUUUUUUCUGUUUGUUUUGGAUAAAUUACUGACUCCUUAUCUCAGUUAUGUUAUGUGUUAAAUGUUUACAGUGUUAUUUUGUAUCUCUCAAGGGCUUUUGUUAGAAUUUUCAAUGAGAUACCUUAAAACCUCUAAAAAGAAAAUGGAUGUUAUAAGUAAAUAAAAAUAAGUCUGAAUGGC
This 2044-nucleotide long non-coding RNA is filed under the name Homo sapiens (human). RNAcentral describes it as "uncharacterized LOC102724542, transcript variant 15 (LOC102724542)". Lineage: Eukaryota; Metazoa; Chordata; Mammalia; Primates; Hominidae. The record is from RNAcentral.